RNAcentral lists this unclassified non-coding RNA (271 nucleotides) under uncultured Microascaceae. Its description in RNAcentral is "sequence contains ITS2". Lineage: Eukaryota; Fungi; Ascomycota; Sordariomycetes; Microascales. The record is from RNAcentral.
AACGCACAUUGCGCCCGGCAGCAAUCUGCCGGGCAUGCCUGUCCGAGCGUCAUUUCUCCCCUCGAGCACGGUUGCCCCUAGGGGCGGCUGCUGCUCGGUGUUGGGGCUCUGCGGGCCCCGCCCGCAGUCCCCGAAAUGAAGUGGCGGUCCCGCCGCGGCGCCCCCUGCGUAGUAAUAACUGCCUCGCAUCGGGUCCCGGCGACGACCUGCCGUCGAACCUUUCUUUUGAUGGUUUGACCUCGGAUCAGGUAGGGUUACCCGCUGAACUUAA